This 496-nucleotide ribosomal RNA is filed under the name uncultured bacterium. RNAcentral's name for it is "partial 16S ribosomal RNA". It matches the Rfam family "Bacterial small subunit ribosomal RNA", at positions 28 to 506 of the family's 1533-position model. The record is from RNAcentral.
GAUGAACGCUGGCGGCGUGCCUAAUACAUGCAAGUCGAGCGAACAGAUGAGGAGCUUGCUCCUCUGACGUUAGCGGCGGACGGGUGAGUAACACGUGGAUAACCUACCUAUAAGACUGGGAUAACUUCGGGAAACCGGAGCUAAUACCGGAUAAUAUAUUGAACCGCAUGGUUCAAUAGUGAAAGACGGUUUUGCUGUCACUUAUAGAUGGAUCCGCGCCGCAUUAGCUAGUUGGUAAGGUAACGGCUUACCAAGGCAACGAUGCGUAGCCGACCUGAGAGGAUGAUCGGCCACACUGGAGCUGAGACACGGUCCAGACUCCUACGGGAGGCAGCAGUAGGGAAUCUUCCGGAUGGGGCGAAAGCCUGACGGAGCAACGCCGCGUGAGUGAUGAAGGUCUUCGGAUCGUAAAACUCUGUUAUUAGGGAAGAACAAAUGUGUAAGUAACGAUGCACGUCUUGACGGUACCUAAUCAGAAAGCCACGGCUAACUACGG